This 1326-nucleotide ribosomal RNA is filed under the name Triticum aestivum (bread wheat). Its description in RNAcentral is "partial small subunit ribosomal RNA". The record is from RNAcentral. Lineage: Eukaryota; Viridiplantae; Streptophyta; Magnoliopsida; Poales; Poaceae.
AUGAUGGCGAUCAUGGUGCGACAGUCAACGAUGGUGAGGCCGGCGAGGGAGACGAUGCCGACUCGGCUAUGGAACUCCCACCUCGACCUACUGGUACCGCGCUUCCACACGCCCAGCGUCUACUUCUACCGCCGCCCCGAGGGGGCAGCGGCCACAGAAGGCUUCUUCGACGGCGAGCGGAUGCGGCAAGCGCUGGCGGAGGCACUCGUGACCUUCUACCCGAUGGCUGGCCGCCUCGCCCGCGACAAGGACGGGAGGGUCGAGAUCGACUGCAAUGGUGAGGGCGUGCUCUUCGUCGAGGCCGACGCACCGGACACCACUGUCGCUGACUAUGGCGACUUCGCGCCCACCAUGGAGCUCAAUCGCCUCAUCCCGGCCAUUGACUACACCCAGGAAAUUUCAUCCUUCCCACUCGUCGUGCUCCAGGUGACCUACUUCAAGUGUGGAGGUGUCUCCCUCGGUGUUGCCACACAACACCAUCUCGCUGAUGGCAUGUCCGGCUUGCAUUUCAUUAAUUCAUGGUCUGAUAUCUGCCGUGGAGCUAAAAUUGCAGUUAUGCCCUUCAUCAACCGCACCCUUGUCCGCGCUCGAGACCCCCCAACUCCAUGUUACCCACAUGUUGAGUACCAUCCAUCCCCAGCCAUGUUGUCAUCCAUACCCCAGGAUCUCUCUUCAGUGCAAACACUGCCAACCACCACCGUUGACAUCUUCCAGCUCACCAGAUCAGACAUUUGCCGCUUGCGCUCGCAGCUUCCCAAAGCCCACGAUAUGCCACGGUUCAGCACAUACACAUUGCUAUCUGCACAUGUCUGGCGUUGUGUCUCCCUUGCGCGUGGCUUGCCAUCUGAACAGCCCACCAAGCUGUAUUGUGCCAUUGAUGGGCGGAAACGACUGAAUCCUCCACUACCAGAAGGUUUCUUAGGCAAUGUGUUGUUCACUGCCACUCCAAUUUUGGAGGCAGGCAAGGUGGUAUGUGGGCUAGCAGAUGCAGCAAAGAUAAUCCAAAUGGAGCUAGAUAGGGUGGAUAAUGACUACUGCCGCUCAGCAUUGGACUACCUUGAGCUGCAACCUGAUUUGUCGGCAUUGGUCCGAGGAGCGCAAACCUACCAUUGUCCUAACCUUGGAAUCACCAGCUGGGUGAACUUGCCCAUCCACAACGCGGAUUUUGGAUGGGGACAGCCGGUGUUCAUGGGUCCCGGCGGCAUCGCAUUCGAGGGGCUCGCCUAUGUCCUCCCAAGCGUACAAAAUGAUGGGAGCUUGUACAUCGCAAUCUCGUUGGAGGCUGACCACAUGAAGAAGUUCCGAAAUUUGAUCUUCGAACUUUAA